This 100-nucleotide non-coding RNA is filed under the name Acetomicrobium mobile. Its description in RNAcentral is "TPP sequence". It matches the Rfam family "TPP riboswitch aptamer (THI element)". Rfam says of the family: Vitamin B(1) in its active form thiamin pyrophosphate (TPP) is an essential coenzyme that is synthesised by coupling of pyrimidine and thiazole moieties in bacteria. The previously detected thiamin-regulatory element, thi box was extended, resulting in a new, highly conserved RNA secondary structure, the THI element, which is widely distributed in eubacteria and also occurs in some archaea. Lineage: Bacteria; Thermotogati; Synergistota; Synergistia; Synergistales; Acetomicrobiaceae. RNAcentral also lists the same sequence under 1 other name. The record is from RNAcentral.
GAAAUGACCAGGGGGUGCUCCGACAAAAAGCGGGGCUGAGAUGAUACCCCUUGAACCUGAUCCAGGUAAUGCUGGCGGAGGGAUGGUAAAAAGAUGUGUA